This 680-nucleotide ribosomal RNA is filed under the name Limacella delicata. Its description in RNAcentral is "eukaryotic LSU rRNA". It matches the Rfam family "Eukaryotic large subunit ribosomal RNA", at positions 202 to 865 of the family's 3401-position model. The record is from RNAcentral. Lineage: Eukaryota; Fungi; Basidiomycota; Agaricomycetes; Agaricales; Amanitaceae.
UCAUAGAGGGUGAGAAUCCCGUCUUUGACAUGGAACUACCAGUACAUUGUGAUGCGCUCUCAAAGAGUCGAGUUGUUUGGGAAUGCAGCUCAAAAUGGGUGGUAAAUUCCAUCUAAAGCUAAAUAUUGGCGAGAGACCGAUAGCGAACAAGUACCGUGAGGGAAAGAUGAAAAGAACUUUGGAAAGAGAAUAAACAGUACGUGAAAUUGUUGAAAGGGAAACGCUUGAAGUCAGUUACAUUGAUCAGAGAUCAAUCCUGCUAUUAUUGCAGGGUGUACUAUCUGGUUAAUGGGUCAGCAUCAAUUUUGACUGUUGGAAAAAAGCAAAGGGAAUGUAGCAUCCCUGUUGAUGUGUUAUAGCCCUUGGUUGUAUACAACAGUUGGGAUUGAGGAACUCAGCAUGCCGCAAGGCCGGGUUUUAAAACCACGUUCAUGCUUAGGAUGCUGGCAAAAUGGCUUUAAUCGACCCGUCUUGAAACACGGACCAAGGAGUCUAACAUACCUGCGAGUGUUUGGGUGGAAAACCCGAGCGCGUAAUGAAAGUGAAAGUUGAGAUCCCUGUCAUGGGGAGCAUCGACGCCCAGACCAGAACUUUUGGGACGGAUCUGCGGUAGAGCAUGUAUGUUGGGACCCGAAAGAUGGUGAACUAUGCCUGAAUAGGGUGAAGCCAGAGGAAACUCU